CAUCGAAUCUUUGAACGCACCUUGCGCCCCUGUGGUAUUCCGAGGGGCACACCCGUUUGAGUGUCGUGAAAACCUCAACCUCCUUGGUUUCUUUCUGGAGACUGAAGGAAGCUUGGACUUUGGAGGCCUUGUGCUGGUGUCUCUCACCAACUCCUCUUAAAUGAAUUAGCGGGGUCCUCUUUGCCGAUCCUCGACACGUGAUAAGAUGCUUCCGUGUCUCGGUUUCUGGCUCUGUUGCUUUUGGGACCCGCUUCUAACCGUCUGGACCUUGUGUCGAGACAAUGUUCGAGAUUGUCUCCCUUCUCGGGAAACCACCUCGACCCCACGA
RNAcentral lists this ribosomal RNA (328 nucleotides) under uncultured Russulaceae. Its description in RNAcentral is "eukaryotic LSU rRNA". The stretch from base 1 to 66 matches the Rfam family "5.8S ribosomal RNA", at positions 90 to 154 of the family's 154-position model. Lineage: Eukaryota; Fungi; Basidiomycota; Agaricomycetes; Russulales; Russulaceae. The record is from RNAcentral.